This 492-nucleotide ribosomal RNA is filed under the name uncultured bacterium. RNAcentral describes it as "partial 16S ribosomal RNA". It matches the Rfam family "Bacterial small subunit ribosomal RNA", at positions 29 to 507 of the family's 1533-position model. The record is from RNAcentral.
AGUGAACGCUGGCGGUAGGCCUAACACAUGCAAGUCGAACGGCAGCACAGUAAGAGCUUGCUCUUACGGGUGGCGAGUGGCGGACGGGUGAGGAAUACAUCGGAAUCUACUUUUUCGUGGGGGAUAACGUAGGGAAACUUACGCUAAUACCGCAUACGACCUACGGGUGAAAGCAGGGGAUCUUCGGACCUUGCGCGAUUGAAUGAGCCGAUGUCGGAUUAGCUAGUUGGCGGGGUAAAGGCCCACCAAGGCGACGAUCCGUAGCCGGUCUGAGAGGAUGAUCAGCCACACUGGAACUGAGACACGGUCCAGACUCCUACGGGAGGCAGCAGUGGGGAAUAUUGGACAAUGGGCGCAAGCCUGAUCCAGCCAUACCGCGUGGGUGAAGAAGGCCUUCGGGUUGUAAAGCCCUUUUGUUGGGAAAGAAAAGCAGCAGGUUAAUACCCCGCUGUUCUGACGGUACCCAAGGAAUAAGCACCGGCUAACUUCGUG